This 450-nucleotide ribosomal RNA is filed under the name uncultured Glomeromycotina. Its description in RNAcentral is "SSU rRNA". It matches the Rfam family "Eukaryotic small subunit ribosomal RNA", at positions 569 to 1024 of the family's 1831-position model. The record is from RNAcentral. Lineage: Eukaryota; Fungi; Glomeromycota.
AGCAGCCGCGGUAAUUCCAGCUCCAAUAGCGUAUAUUAAAGUUGUUGCAGUUAAAAAGCUCGUAGUUGAAUUUCGGGGUUAGUAGGUUGGUCAUGCCUCUGGUAUGUACUGGUCUCACUGAUUCCUCCUUCCUGAUGAACCUUAAUGCCAUUUAUUUGGUGUUUUGGGGAAUUUGGACUGUUACUUUGAAAAAAUUAGAGUGUUUAAAGCAAGCUAACGCUUGAAUACAUUAGCAUGGAAUAAUGAAAUAGGACGUUCGAUCCUAUUUUGUUGGUUUCUAGGAUUGACGUAAUGAUUAAUAGGGAUAGUUGGGGGCAUUAGUAUUCAAUUGUCAGAGGUGAAAUUCUUGGAUUUAUUGAAGACUAACUACUGCGGAAGCAUUUGCCAAGGAUGUUUUCAUUAAUCAAGAACGAAAGUUAGGGAUCGAAGACGAUCAGAUACCGCCGUAGU